GGCUCGGCGACCCGAUCCUCGCGUUUUCCCCGGGGAGACUCGUCCCCACCUCUUGGGUCCGGGAACAUCAUCCCUGUCCGCUCGCGAGCGACGCGAGGCGAGGCGAGCGCUCCGCCGCCGCGCCGCGUGCUCUGCCUCCCUGCUUCUGCUGCCGCUUCACCUGCGCUCCAAGGCUCGGCUCGGCGCUGCCGCUCCACCCCCGUCUAGACGCCACCCCUGCAGCUCCCUGUUGGUGAUGCUGCUCCGCCUUCGCACCCCCACGGCAUCCGAUCUGCGACGAUGGCACCACCUCGGCCGCCGCCGCCUCCAGAGCCACCACGGUGCCUCCACUUCCUCGUCAUAUAUCUUGUUUAGAUCUUGGUGAUUUCUGAUCUGAUUGGCUGGCAUCUCCAAGAUUCACAACCUGCUGAUCACUUCAAUCGACAUUGUUGGCCUAGAUUGUGGAGAUCUUGAAGGACCGUCCAAGUUGGUUUCGUGGUUGUCGGGGUCUUGAAGUCUUUACAAUGUUACCAGCUGGAAAUGGUGGGACCAUUGAGCUUGUUUCCAUGCAGAUGUAUGCUCCUACUACUUUAGUUCCUGCAAGAGAUUUUUGGCAGUAUUGUUUCUUUCUUCCUUUGGCAGCAUGUUCACGCGUGCUUCUACUUCUGCUGUUAUCCUGCCACGAGACAUGCAAGUGCAGCUUCUGCUUCUGCGUGCUUCUGCUUCUGUCUUCAUGAAUUUCUCAAGAAUUUUAUCCUGUUGUGUGAUGGAUGAAUUGGACGUGUUGGGAUUUGAUCAAUGGAAAACUACUCUGGCUUGCAUUGUGAUCGGUUGAGAAUGAAUUGAAUAUAUUUUGUACGUCGCAGAUUUUGAGUUU
Panicum virgatum (switchgrass) is the source of this 856-nucleotide long non-coding RNA. RefSeq lists it as uncharacterized. Lineage: Eukaryota; Viridiplantae; Streptophyta; Magnoliopsida; Poales; Poaceae. The transcript is spliced from 4 exons. The record is from RefSeq and is a predicted model, not a curated record.